UGUCGAUGUCCCAAUAUUUCUGGACCUGACUGUAUGUGCUGUUGUGAAUAUAGUGGAAUAUUAUAAAGAAACAAUGGGGACUAUAUUGAUAUUUGACACUUAUGAUGCAAAUUUUACUAAUGUGACUUCUUAGUAACUGAAUUUACCUUCUAAAAUAGUUUGGUUUUUUUUUAAAGUAUGUGCAGGUUAUUAUCCUUCUUCAUAGCUUAAAUGUAUCAAAUUUCACAGUUUCUGUGUGUCAAGGUUUAUGGAGGGUCAUAAGCUCUAAUUUAUAAAUAAGCCCUUUCUCUUGUAGUGCCCAGAUGCUAAACAUAGCGGAGUCAUCUAAAAUUAGCUCACACGUCUCCACAAAUAGCUAAGCCAGCUUUGCCUGAUCUGGCUCCAGAAACAUUCGGCAACCCUUUCCAUGCUGGCUGUGAAUUCCAAGACCUAGAUGUUGCCUAUUGUAACUGUAUGUUUACCAGUUUCUGCUGGCGUGUUCUCAUUUUUGUAGUUGUUUGUAAGUUUCUUCUGCAUACAAUAUGACAUUGCCAUGAUCCUUUUAACUGGAUAAGUUUGAUAACAAGAAGAAUAAACAUAGCAGAAGGUGUAGAUGACUGCUUCCCACGCCUCUUGUCUAUAACUUGAAAAUAGCUCUGGAAUAAUUGAAAAGUUGAGGUGGCCAUGGCGAAAAGAAGGGACUGGCAACAGUCAUAAGAAAGGGUUCAGCUCUGAAAUAUACCGCUCUUGGUAUAUUAUGGGAAGAAACCUUUUAUUCUGCAUUGGUCAGACCUUCUGGGCACCACACUUGAAGAAGGCUUCAGAGAAAAUGGAACAGGUAUUGGCCGAGAGCCUGGAAAGGAACUCCUGAAAGAAGAGAUUGAGAAAAGGGGCACCACAAAGAAGAAAGCUAAGACUUAUUCUCAAUCUUCACGGACUGUAGGGCAAGAAUAAUCAUCGUGAGGCACAGGAAGGCAGAUUCUAGAUAUUCCAGAUGCAAGAAAGGUCAUUUCACAGUUAAAUGGUUCAACAAGGGAAUUCUAAUCUACUUGCAUUCUCUGACUGACAAGCAUUUGUUUUUGUCUUCAGCAUUUAGUCCAG
This is a long non-coding RNA of Python bivittatus (Burmese python), 1080 nucleotides long. RefSeq lists it as uncharacterized. NCBI's taxonomy places the organism in Eukaryota, Metazoa, Chordata, Lepidosauria, Squamata, Pythonidae. The record is from RefSeq and is a predicted model, not a curated record.